GAUGAAGAACGUAGCGAAAUGCGAUAAGUAAUGUGAAUUGCAGAAUUCAGUGAAUCAUCGAAUCUUUGAACGCACAUUGCGCCCGCCAGUAUUCUGGCGGGCAUGCCUGUUCGAGCGUCAUUUCAACCAUCAAGCCCCCGGCUUAUGUUGGGGACCUGCGGCUGCCGCAGGCCCUGAAAAGCAGUGGCGGGCUCGCUGUCACACCGAGCGUAGUAGCAUACAUCUCGCUCUGGGCGUGCUGCGGGUUCCGGCCGUUAAACCACCUUCAUAACCCAAGGUUGACCUCGGAUCAGGUAGGAAGACCCGCUGAACUUAAGCAUAUCAAUAAGCGGAGGA
Molecule: unclassified non-coding RNA, 336 nt
Filed under: soil metagenome
Description: partial contains 5.8S ribosomal RNA, internal transcribed spacer 2, and large subunit ribosomal RNA
Rfam family: 5.8S ribosomal RNA (bases 1-120)
Source: RNAcentral